Rhincodon typus (whale shark) is the source of this 4918-nucleotide long non-coding RNA. RefSeq lists it as uncharacterized. NCBI's taxonomy places the organism in Eukaryota, Metazoa, Chordata, Chondrichthyes, Orectolobiformes, Rhincodontidae. The record is from RefSeq and is a predicted model, not a curated record. The transcript is spliced from 3 exons.
UCAGGCAUUGGAGGCACGCAAUCAGUUACUGCCUGUUCCUAUUUGUCUGGAGAAUGCGAUGACAAGCCAGCAACUAAAACCAUUGCUGUGCAUCUGGUAAAAAUACUUCUAGAGUGUGGUUAAGUAUGGAGUUCCAGGAUUUGCAUCCAGCAAAGCUGAAGGGCACGAUUCUUCAUGCUGAGACUGCUGCUAGUGUUCUUAUGUGUCUGCUGCCAAAAUCCUUUUAAGUGGUCGGGGUAAUAGAUUUGGGAGCUUCUGUCAAAGAAGCUUUGGAUGUUGGUGUGGUUGGUUAUUUCAAGUCAUGAUUGCCCCACAAUGAGCAUAAGAAUGACCUUCAAUUCUUUUGAUGAAUCAGCUUGGCUCCAUGAGCAUGUCACUUACCAGAAGUCUGGCCUUGAGGACAGCUAGAACUUUACUUGGCAGAGAUGUGAUUAUAUUCUCCAGGAAGAUAUCCUAAACCUGUAAAUACAUCAUUGUGCUCCUCUAGAACCUGUUUCAUAAAUGGUUUGUGUUCUGCAACAUGUUACAAAUUUAUUCUGGUACUUGAGGGAUAUCAGUUUUAGACUUGCUAACGUUAAGGUGAGUGGCUCUUAUUUGCCAUCUAUGAUUUGGAACUCCAGGCCUUCAUUCUUGUCAUAGCCAAAUGCAAUCUGUGAAAUCUGUAUCUGAGUAUAAUGUCAUCAUGUAGCCUCAGACUUAUUUUUGCAGGCUUCAUUUUUGGAUCACUAUGUUGAACUAUAACACAGAGCUAAUGAUAUUGUAUGAUACUUUAUGGUGACUUCAUGAUUUCUUUCUGCAGUCAUCAUUCCAACAGUCACAAACCAUUUAUCCCUUCUUGACCUGUUUGAUGCAACCUGCUAUAGAGUAAAAUAUCAGUACCUGUUGCUGAUAUCUCCCUAGUGACAAUCUGUACCUACAUGUCGUGCUUCUGUCUAGCCAAACACUUUUGUACAAAAUUAUUCAACAUUUGCAGUGAGUACAUGCUUUUCUGACAUCGGACAUGCCUUCUUUUCUGUGUAAUGUUCUCUGCAGUAUUUGCUUCCUGUCCUUUGUCAAUGAUCAUUCUGCCUUUUUGCCCUGGAAUGUCUGUCAGGAUAACGUAUGGUCUGGUCUGUUCAUAGAUCAUGGAAUCCCGACAGUGUGGAAGCAGGCCAUUCAAUCCAUAGAGUCCACACCGACCCUCCAAACAGCAUUCCACUCAAAACCUUAAUAUUAGGACUGAUGAAAGGAUAGUGGUCUGUAAGCCUUCUUAACUACCCUAUUAACCUGUCCUGUCACCUUCAGAGAUCUGUGGACAAGCAUCCCAAGAUCCCACCGUUCCUUUGCUGGAAGCAAAUUGCCAGUCAAAAAUCGUAGUUAAACAAGAAACCAGACAACUCCUUACAGCUCCAGUUCUGAAGAAGUCAUACCAGACUUGAAAUGUUAACACUAUUUCUUUCUCCACAUAUGCUGUCAAUUUCUCCAGCAUUGUGUUUGUUUCAGAUUUCCAGCAUCUACAGUAUUUUGCUUUUAUAAUGUCUUACAGCUAAGUUGCAUAUCUGCAUAAUCACCAAACCUAACUGCCAGAGAUGGUUGGGGGAAGGGGACAGUUUGGAUUUUUGAUUAAAGUACGGGAGGCAGUUCCUGCUCCUCACCCAAAAUAAAACAGCCCUCACCAGGACCCGAUCAUAACAUGUCUAAAGAUGUCUUUACUGAACUGCUGUAAAAUGGAUGACUUCACUCAGUGUCUCAUGGUAAAGUUCACAUGACUAUAGCAAGCCAGGAGGCACAUUUGUACUAAUGCAUUUCUAACUCAAACGUUAAUGUGAAGACUCCCACAGCAACUUGCUCCUCAUUGUCUAUCACUUUAGUCCCAUUUCUGGUGGGUCUGGCCUGUCAGUUGGCAAAACAUAUCCAGGAAUGGCAAAUUGAAGGGUCUGUCCAUUGGCUAGAAAGUAUUAUUCAGCGUGUAUAACUCUGUCAGGCUGCUGCUUGAUUAGCCUGUUAGACAACUCCUCCAAUUUUGCUCCAAUUCCCUCAAUAUUAGUAAGGAGGACUUUGUAAAUUAUAAUUAGAUUGGGUGUGCCUUUGUUGUUUCCAGUGACUAGGCUAAUGCUGAGUGGUCCUUCAGUAACUUCAGUUUUAUUCUUAUUUAACGUCUCUGUAUUGCUUUAGUACAAUGAAGUGGCUCGCAAAGCAAUUUCAAAGGGCAGAUCAAAUUCAAACACAUUGCUGUGUGUCCGGAGUCACAUGUCGGCCAGUCUGGUCAGGAUACAGAUUUGCUUUCCUAAAGGGAAUUAGUGAACAAGGAAAUAGGGUGGAUAAUUGGGAUUCAUAUGACUUACUGGUGUACAGGGUAACUAUUGACACAAACCACUUGUUUUUUGUGUUGUAACCUUGUCUUUUUAUGUGUCAAUGCUACUUGGAUGUCAGAAAGAGAGUUCUAAUUUGUCAGUAACUUAAUUAUUUAAACAGAACAUAACUUAAGAAUAACAAUAGAUUCAGAUGAUCUCCACUCCUAAUAUUAAAUUAUAACAAAUAAAUACUCAACAGGUCAGGCAGCAACUGCAGAAUGAAAAAUAGAAUUCAUGUGCAAGGAUGAGAACAUUCCAUCAGAACUACAAAUAAAAGGUCAUCAACACGAAAUGUUGACUUAGAAUUAGAAUUAGGUUUUAUUGUCACGUAUACUCAAGUAUAGGAAUACAUGAGUACAGUGAAAGUACAAAGGUGCCAUCUUGGUUACAAAACCAGAAUUUAAAAAACAGAAAAAAAUUUAAGAGCAAAAAAUUAAGAAAACACCCAGAUCUUAACGUCGAAGGUUUUACUUCCAUAAAGGUGUUUGGAAUGCUCAGCCACCGAUGCUGGAGUGUUGCCUGACCUGCUCAGUAGUUUCUGCUUUUACUUCAGAUUUCCAGCAUCUGCAAUAUACUGCUUUUAAAUUUGAAUACAUUGAAACGUUUAACAUAAUUCUUUUUGACCACUCAUCACAAGAAUUUUUAAAAUUUAUUUCAACCAUAUAUUUUAUUUGAAAGUAACAACAAAAGCAGGAAGAAAUGCAAGAUCCUACCUCAUAACUGAAAUAAAAAUAGCCUGCCUUGUCUGCAUAAUGCCAGAAACAUUCCUGCCCACCUCCUGAGAGAACGAUGGAAAAGUCAUAUUGAUCAGCACCACGAAAAGUACCAGAUUCAUUAGAACCAUCUAUUGGCUUGGUAUUUUGAGAUGUUCCAUUUACAAACAGGGCAACACACACGUACAUAACUAUAACACCUUGUGCAGACAUUUUACUGUAGUGAUGUAUGGAGAAUUCCCACAAGCAGAAAACUUACAACUUAGGAAAUUAUUAACUUUUUAUCUCAUCUUUGUGGCAUAUUAAUCCUACUCAAUGUCUUUUGCACCUGUGAAAUAUACAUUUUAAACAAUCAUCCAAAAAGAUCCUAUUGCUGAACUGAAAAUUACGCAAUCUACACAGAAGCAUGACUUACAUCUUCAUAUUACUCUAUGAGCUGAUUGAAGAAAAAGAUUAUUUUUAGCAUCCUCUAGGCUUGAAAAGAGCCUUAUAAUCUUAUAAGUAGUGCUCAACGGUUACAUUAACAAUGACAAAUGUAAAGCAAAUUCUUCUGAUCACAAUGCCUUAUAAGCAGAUUGCAAAUUGCAAUGAUAUUUAAUUUGUACUUGAAUUUACAAUAAAGCUAGUAUCAAUAUAUUUGGGGGGGGUGGUGUGGGAAAGAAAGGUUGAGCUUUACAAUAUAACCUUAUGGACUUGAAUCUCUACAGUAUGGAAACAGGCCCUUUGGCCCAAGAAGUCCACACUACCUCUCUGUAGAGCAUCCCACCCAGACCCACUUCCCUACCCCUGAUUUCCCCAUGUCUAACCCACCUGACCUAAACAUCCCUGGGCACUAUGGGCAACUUAGCAUGGCCAAUCCACCUAGCCUGCACAUCUUUGGACUGUGGGAGGAAACUGGAGCAUCUGGAGGAAACCCACACUGACAUGGGGAGAAUGUGCAAACUCCACACAGACAGUCACCUGAGGCUGGAAUUGAACCUGGGUCCCUGGUGCUGUGAGACAGCAGUGUUAACCACCAAGCCAUCGUGCUGCCCCUUUCUGCACAUAUUCCUGAGAAGUAAUUUAAAAUGCAAAUUUUAGCUGCUAAUUUGUCACCCCUCACCAUAUUAAAAGAAGAGCCAUAAAAACCAUAAUAGCUCCAAAACGUGCCAGCCUCAUGAUGUGACUUCAAACAACGUCAUUUAGAAGAAUAGUCAUAGUUUGAUACAAUAUCAAACGUUCCCUGAACUGCAUAUCAAUUACAUUAGCUUCAACCCAUUGUGGAGAUGAUAAAAUACAUGAUACUGUCAUCCUAUGACUGAAAUGGCUGGAGAAAGAGUUCACAUCUUAAUCAACCAGGACAGCCGAGCAGGUCAGUGUGGGAUCUAUAGGCAAGAAGGAAGCCAUCUCUCACUCAACACCAGGGAGGACACUUUCUUAAAAGUCACCCUAGGCAAAGUAGAGAGACUUAUUUGUUUUACCUACAAGAUUUUAUUUCUUCACUAUAUGAGCUCAGAUACAACUUCAUUUAAAUAACCAUUGUCUCUAGUGAUCCAAGAAAAAUAACCUUCAAAUGUACAACAUUCUAACCACCACCCCAGGGGCUACGUAAUCAAGUGACUUAUUUCUUUUUGAGGUAGUAGGAACUGCAGAUGCUGGAGAGUCUGAGACAACAAGGUGCAGAGCUGGAUGAACACAGCAGGCCAAGCAGCAUCAUAGGAACAGAAAGGCUGACGUUUCGGGCCUAGACCGUUCAUCAGAAAUUUAUUUCUUUUUCUUCUGUUAUCACUGUAAAUGCAUGCUACAUCUUAAGAAAUCAUCUAUUGUACGUGUUUGUAUAUCUGGUGUGUGUGAAGAAUGAGAUUGAGAAGUAAACAUUUAUCAUUUCCCUUG